AUUGAACGCUGGCGGCAUGCCUUACACAUGCAAGUCGAACGGUAACGGGCCUUCGGGUGCCGACGAGUGGCGAACGGGUGAGUAAUACAUCGGAGCGUGCCCGAUCGUGGGGGAUAACGAGGCGAAAGCUUUGCUAAUACCGCAUACGAUCUACGGAUGAAAGCAGGGGACCGCAAGGCCUUGCGCGGACGGAGCGGCCGAUGGCAGAUUAGGUAGUUGGUGGGAUAAAAGCUUACCAAGCCGACGAUCUGUAGCUGGUCUGAGAGGAUGAUCAGCCACACUGGGACUGAGACACGGCCCAGACUCCUACGGGAGGCAGCAGUGGGGAAUUUUGGACAAAGGGCGCAAGCCUGAUCCAGCCAUGCCGCGUGCAGGAUGAAGGCCUUCGGGUUGUAAACUGCUUUUGUACGGAACGAAAAGCCUUCUUUUAAUACAGGAGGGUCAUGACGGUACCGUAAGAAUAAGCACCGGCUAACUACGUG
RNAcentral lists this ribosomal RNA (482 nucleotides) under uncultured bacterium. RNAcentral's name for it is "partial 16S ribosomal RNA". It matches the Rfam family "Bacterial small subunit ribosomal RNA", at positions 30 to 507 of the family's 1533-position model. The record is from RNAcentral.